RNAcentral lists this ribosomal RNA (429 nucleotides) under Bacteroidota bacterium. RNAcentral's name for it is "Bacteroidetes bacterium partial 16S ribosomal RNA". It matches the Rfam family "Bacterial small subunit ribosomal RNA", at positions 355 to 776 of the family's 1533-position model. The record is from RNAcentral. Lineage: Bacteria; Pseudomonadati; Bacteroidota.
UAGGGAAUCUUCGGCAAUGGGGGGAACCCUGACCGAGCAACGCCGCGUGAGUGAAGAAGGUUUUCGGAUCGUAAAGCUCUGUUGUUAAGGAAGAACGAGUGUGAGAAUGGAAAGUUCAUACUGUGACGGUACUUAACCAGAAAGGGACGGCUAACUACGUGCCAGCAGCCGCGGUAAUACGUAGGUCCCGAGCGUUGUCCGGAUUUAUUGGGCGUAAAGCGAGCGCAGGCGGUUAGAUAAGUCUGAAGUUAAAGGCAGUGGCUCAACCAUUGUAGGCUUUGGAAACUGUUUAACUUGAGUGCAGAAGGGGAGAGUGGAAUUCCAUGUGUAGCGGUGAAAUGCGUAGAUAUAUGGAGGAACACCGGUGGCGAAAGCGGCUCUCUGGUCUGUAGCUGACGCGGAGGCUCGAAAGCGUGGGGAGCGAACAGG